GUAGGUGGCAAGCGUUGUCCGGAAUUAUUGGGCGUAAAGCGCGCGCAGGGCGGUCCUUUAAGUCUGAUGUGAACGCCCACGGCUCAACCGUGGAGGGUCAUUGGAAACUGGGGGACUUGAGUACAGAAGAGGAAAGCGGAAUUCCAAGUGUAGUGGUGAAAUGCGUAGAGAUUUGGAGGAACACCAGUGGCGAAGGCGGCUUUCUGGUCUGUAACUGACGCUGAGGCGCGAAAGCGUGGGGAGCAAACAGGAUUAGAUACCCUGGUAGUCCACGCCGUAAACGAUGAGUGCUAAGUGUUAGGGGGUUUCCGCCCCUUAGUGCUGCAGCUAACGCAUUAAGCACUCCGCCUGGGGAGUACGGCCGCAAGGCUG
Molecule: ribosomal RNA, 372 nt
Filed under: uncultured organism
Description: partial 16S ribosomal RNA
Rfam family: Bacterial small subunit ribosomal RNA
Source: RNAcentral